CCGCUCCCGCGGGGCCGGCCGCCCGCCUGCCCUGCUCGAUGACUUCCGGCCUCCCCCCAAUCCCGCUCCCCCUCCAUCCCACCGGCCCUCUCCCCGCUGGCUCCUCCCCGCCGCGCAUCAGGCCACUGGAAGGGGUGGGGAGCCGUGGUCCCGGAUGGUUUCAGCCGGAGCUGCGUGUUGGGGACCUUUCUUUUAAAAAUAGCGGAGCGUGUUUUUUAUUAAAAGUACAGCUAGUUGAUGCAGCAACUCCGAGUUGCAAUAACAGAUACAGUGUUCGAUUUAAAAAAUAUGUUUUUCCUGUUUCCUGUGCCUUAUCCUAUAUUUACUAUAUUGGAGAAACAAAAAAAUGAAUAUAACAAGAUCCAUGUCCUCAAGGCGGUUAAACCCCACAUCCUAACGUUCAUAAAGCCGUUCCACCGGGAGUUGUUGCUUGCUAUCUACCCGCAAACCCUAUGCGAAGAGGCGUGGGAUUUGCAGCCAGAAUACAGAACUCUUCUAAAAUCUAGUGUUGGGACAGAGAUGGAGAUACAUCAUGAUAGUCAGAAUAAAACAAAUGGUAGGUAGAGUCAAAAGCAAUUUGAUGGAGACUGUAAGGGGAUGGAGUGACAAAAAGAACUGGUCUUUGAGAAAGAGGAAUCCACAGGACUAGGUGGUGAUUGGUUUUAGAGAGGAGAGAGGUACCAUCCUGGACGAUUUUCACAUGGCCCCUAAGAGGAGGAUGGUGUCAUUAACAAAUACAGGAAACUGAAAAGUUGGAGCAGGUUGUUUGGGCAAAGAGCUAAUUUUGGCCAUACUGAAUUUGCGAUGCUCACUCAGCUAGCAUGUGAAGCUGUGUAACAGCAGGUGGGCAUGUAUGUAUAGAGCUCAGGCUGAGGAGUGCCUUGAAGUGAUGGGCGAAGUCAUGAGUGCAUGUGAUAUUCAAAGCCGUGGAAGAAAUUGAUGUCCUCAAAAGAAAAUCUGAGAGCUGGAAAGGACUUUGGAGGUCGUGUUUUUUGACUCUGCAGACCCCUCAGGCAUUAAACCCUUCUACCAGACGUAUUCAAUAAGCAUUUAUUGGAUGCCUUUUAAACUCUACCGUGCAUUAGGCCUGAUGUAGGCAGUGGGUGUGAAAAGCUCCAUCCGAGGAGCCUACAUGCUGGUGAGGGAGGCAACCAUGUAAUCCAACCCACUGCUAUCAGUGCCAUGUUGAAAGUAUGGAACUGGUGCCGCAGUACCACAGGGGAAGGGGUUCAAGGAACCCAUCAUGGCGCAUACGAAACUCCAGGACUUGGUGUGUUUGGGGACUGACAUCUGCUGAGGCAGUGGGAGCAAUACGUGUCCAAGACAGUUUUACCCACAUGACCCAGAUGUCUGGGCCGGGUCAGAACUGGGGAUUCUAAUCAGGACCCAACAUGGACAGGGCUAGAGGAGGCCAUGAUCACGGCAGCCAAAGGCCCCAGAAGCUAAGGUGUCUCCACAAGUCAAGCGCAGGUCCCAGCUCCUUCCUACAGAAAGAUGCGGACUGUGGAGGUUCCCUCGGGGACAAGACCAACAAGGACAUAGACUGAGGAGUGUCUUCAUUGCACACGAGGUCACUGACACGCACCAGGACCUACAGCGGCCGUGGUCCACUGCAUUCAUUGACUGAUGAAUCCCAGCUCAGCCGCUGCUAAGGAAAUAAGAUGGAGGGAAAGAACCUGGGGGCUGGGUCUUUGCUUCUGUCCGUGCAGAAACGUCUGGGUUUCAGUGGAAUGAUACGGUUUCCAAGAAUGAUUAAGAACAAGCUGCAUAAAAAUUAUGACACGUAAUUUUCUGGACUAUGGACUAAAAUGAACUGCUCCACCGAGACGGUGCUCUGUCUUUGGGAAGAUGCUGCAAUAAAUAAAAGUGUGGAAAUCAAGUGGCUGGCACCCUGCCAAGACGCCCUGUACAGUGAGUGCACAUGUGCUGGACACGACACAAUGACCUAAAAGAAACACAGAGAUACUGCUGGAAUAGUUCAGUGAAUAUAGUUCAGUGAAUACCACUGCUUCAGCGAGGAGUAAGUCAUGUAAUAAGGCAGGAUGGAAACAGAAUUAACCUUUAAAACUUGGAAAUGGAGUACCGGAGAAUUAAAUUAACAGAAGUGCAUAGACAAGUUCUGGGAAAACCCACGGUGGAUGCCUUUGGUCAGGUCGAGAGCCAUGUGAGGACACAGCAAGAAGGCAGCCAUCUGCAGGCCAGGAAGAGAGCCCUCACCAGAAGCCAACCCUAAACCACUUUGAUCUUGGACCUCUAGAACUGGGGAGAAAAUACAUUUCUGGUGUUUAAGCCACACAGUCUGCGGGGUUUUGUUAUGGCGGCCCUAGCAGGCUAUUACAGAGACCUUCCCG
Long non-coding RNA from Equus caballus (horse), 2351 nucleotides. The record is from Ensembl. Lineage: Eukaryota; Metazoa; Chordata; Mammalia; Perissodactyla; Equidae.